This 498-nucleotide ribosomal RNA is filed under the name uncultured bacterium. RNAcentral's name for it is "partial 16S ribosomal RNA". It matches the Rfam family "Bacterial small subunit ribosomal RNA", at positions 29 to 523 of the family's 1533-position model. The record is from RNAcentral.
AGUGAACGCUGGCGGCGUGCCUAAUACAUGCAAGUCGAACGCGAAAGUCCUUCGGGAUGAGUAAAGUGGCGCACGGGUGAGUAAUGGUUGAGAAUGUGCCCUGAGGUGGGGAAUAACAGUUGGAAACGACUGCUAAUACCGCAUGGUUUCGAAAGAAUAAAGGUGGGGAUCGCAAGACCUACCGCCACAGGAUCGGCUCAACUCCCAUUAGCUAGUUGGCAGGGUAAUGGCCUACCAAGGCAACGAUGGGUAUCUGGUCUUAGAGGAUGAUCAGACACACUGGAACUGAGACACGGUCCAGACUCCUACGGGAGGCAGCAGUAGGGAAUAUUGCACAAUGGGGGAAACCCUGAUGCAGCAACGCCGCGUGAGUGAAGAAGGCCCUUGGGUUGUAAAGCUCUUUAGCCUGGAAGGAAGUGCCUGUAAGUAAAUAAUUUGCAGGUGUGACGGUACCAGGAGAAUAAGGACCGGCUAAUUUCGUGCCAGCAGCCGCUGUAA